UGCCAGCCGCCGCGGUAAUACGGAGGGGGUUAGCGUUGUUCGGAAUUACUGGGCGUAAAGCGCGCGUAGGCGGACUAUUAAGUCUGAUGUGAAAGCCCGGGGCUCAACCCCGGAAGUGCAUUGGAAACUGGCGAACUUGAGUACGGGAGAGGAAAGUGGAAUUCCGAGUGUAGGGGUGAAAUUCGUAGAUAUUCGGAGGAACACCAGUGGCGAAGGCGACCACCUGGUACGGUACUGACGCUGAGAUGCGAAAGCGUGGGGAGCAAACAGGAUUAGAUA
This 279-nucleotide ribosomal RNA is filed under the name uncultured bacterium. RNAcentral's name for it is "partial 16S ribosomal RNA". It matches the Rfam family "Bacterial small subunit ribosomal RNA", at positions 506 to 784 of the family's 1533-position model. The record is from RNAcentral.